This is a non-coding RNA of Podarcis lilfordi (Lilford's wall lizard), 78 nucleotides long. The record is from the annotation of a GenBank genome assembly. Lineage: Eukaryota; Metazoa; Chordata; Lepidosauria; Squamata; Lacertidae.
ACCCAUCCAAGACAGCUCAGUUGGUAGAGCAUGAGAUUCUUAAUCUCAGGGCUGUGAGUUCAAGCCCCAUGCUGGGCA